This is a long non-coding RNA of Mytilus californianus (California mussel), 1995 nucleotides long. RefSeq lists it as uncharacterized. The transcript has 2 exons. NCBI's taxonomy places the organism in Eukaryota, Metazoa, Mollusca, Bivalvia, Mytilida, Mytilidae. The record is from RefSeq and is a predicted model, not a curated record.
AAUACACACGCACCUAUGUACAUUAUAAUAACAUAAGCUGAGAUACGAAAGUUAAUAAAGUCCUCACUGUGUAUGGUUUCUAUCCAACUUGGCAGUCUAGUAUUUUUCCUAGAUAUUUUUCCAUGAAACAUAAGAAGAGGUAGUUGUUGUAUUACAAAUACUUAGUUAUAAAACUGGUAUGUCUAAAAAAUAGGCGAAAGAUACAAAAGGGACAUUCAAACUCAUAAGUUGAAGACAAACCGACAAUCCAUGGCAAAAAAUAAAAAAAGACAAAAAGACAUACAACAAUACACAAAACACAACACAGAAAACUAAAGAGCAAAAGGAACACCACAAAAAUCCGAAUUGAUCUCAAGUACUCCGGAAGGGUAAUGUGGAGGUAAUCAUUUCCUUUUAUAUAUGCAUCAUCAAAUUUGGUCUGACUUCUGACGCAGCCUUUGAACGCAUUGCUCAUAGAAAACAUCAAACUUGCCUACCAUAAACCUGGGUCCGCAUGUUCCUGUCUAAAUCGUUACAAAUCCAUUAGCAAGCAGAUAAAUCAUACAACAUUCGUUUCCGUAACAAAAGCUAAUUUCAUCGAACCCUCGAUUGUUUUGUUUUUCAUAAUUGUGAAUAAAAGGUAUGGAAAUUUGAUAAGGAAUUAAAUGGUGUUUGAUUUAUGUGUUUGACUUGGAUGUAUUACAAUUCGGAGACUUUAACUUGCCGAAGUCUGGAUCGGCAAUUUCCAUGGUCCAAGCAAAUCCCCCAAAAGCCGUUAUUUAUCAGAACUAUCUUGGAAUAGGUAAAGCAAUUGUCUAAGCCAGGAACACUACAAAACCGUUAAUCAUGUCAGAUUGAUAUUACAGAGCUAAAAUGUUACUUAUAGGUUGAUAUAUAGAUAUUGUAGAUAUUGUAGCGAUCCAACAAUUUAUGAUGUUACAGUAUUCGAGAAUUAUGUCGUUCGUCCUCGUAACCUUCUGUAGUAGUGUUUUGGUAGGAUAAAGCUUCCGUUAGUAGAUUUUUAUAUUUUUAAUAAAGGUAGGUAAAACCAUAUGCUUUGACAGUUCGUUCGAAUAAAGAGGAAUAUAAACAAAAGAUGAAGCAGACCUUUCAUCCUGUAUUAUCUAUACUUCAAGUUCAAACGAUAGAUUUCAAUUCAAGGAAUAAACGUAUCUGUAUAUGUGCAUGUUCAAGACAAAAAGUGCUAACAAAAUUCUGGAUAGAAGAUAACAAAACAACUAUGUAAACUUAAACGUAACGUGUUACUUCAAUAACCUAGGAUAUUUAAAUUUGGGGCGCCAGAUUAAAAACAAAACAAAAUAUUUAAGAGGUUCACACUUAGAAGAGCAUUAAAAAGGUUGCAAAAUUCAUCUAAGGUCGGUUUGCCUGAAGGAUUUUAAGCUUGAUUUUAGAAAAAAAUACCAAAUUUAUCUUUUAAAACAUUACAACAGUUUUCAGCCGAUACUAAGCAAAAGCAACAUGACAGAUGUACAAAACACAAAAAGAAAAUACUAAUACAGAUAGGUUUAUAAUUUGCAAAAUUAGUGUUGACAGUUUUACAUUAUAUUUACAUUUCAAUGACCCUGUGAAAUAAAUUGGGCAUUAAAAGUUGUUUCCACAUUAUAGCAUAAUUUGUGAAGGAAAAUAAAAGUAAUAUAUUCACGAAAAAGUGUAACGGUCUUCUACUUGCAAAUAAGGUAACAGUGUAGUCAAAGACUACAAAAAUAUUAAUAUUCGUCUUUUGUUUCAUUUGAAAACGACAAGCAACAACACAUUUCUUUUAUACCUUCGAUGAUUUUUGUUUCUAGCAUUUUUUUACACCUUCAUCCCUUUGAUUAGAUUCCGUUUCAAACUAUUUUAAAUAUAGUUUUAAAUUAACAUAUGAGACGAUAAUAUAAAAUGACAUACAUCAUCCAAGUAUAACCAAUCCUUCAGAUUUGGUAUGAAUACUUGGAUGUAUAUACUCUUUCAAUGUGUUGUUGUCUUUAAGUGUCUCUGAUCAAAUAUUUUCAAAUG